UACGUAGGGUGCGAGCGUUGUCCGGAAUUACUGGGCGCAAAGAGCUCGUAGGUGGUUUGUCGCGUUGUCCGUGAAAACUCACAACUCAAUUGUGGGCGUGCGGGCGAUACGGGCAGACUGGAGUACUGCAGGGGAGACUGGAAUUCCUGGUGUAGCGGUGGAAUGCGCAGAUAUCAGGAGGAACACCGGUGGCGAAGGCGGGUCUCUGGGCAGUAACUGACGCUGAGGAGCGAAAGCGUGGGGAGCGAACAGG
This 253-nucleotide ribosomal RNA is filed under the name uncultured bacterium. Its description in RNAcentral is "partial 16S ribosomal RNA". It matches the Rfam family "Bacterial small subunit ribosomal RNA", at positions 524 to 776 of the family's 1533-position model. The record is from RNAcentral.